GCAGUAGCCGCGGGAAUACGUAGGGGGCAAGCGUUAUCCGGAAUUACUGGGUGUAAAGGGAGCGUAGACGGUUAAACAAGUCUGAAGUGAAAUGCCGGGGCUCAACCCCGGAGCUGCUUUGGGAACUGUAGAACUGGAGUGUCGGAGGGGUAAGCGGAAUUCCCAGUGUAGCGGUGAAAUGCGUAGAUAUUGGGAGGAACACCGGCGGCGAAGGCGGCUUACUGGACGACAACUGACGUUGAGGCUCGAAGGCGUGGGUAGUAAACUGGAUUAGAUACCCCGGUAGUCCCUGUCUCUUAUAC
This 302-nucleotide ribosomal RNA is filed under the name uncultured bacterium. Its description in RNAcentral is "partial 16S ribosomal RNA". It matches the Rfam family "Bacterial small subunit ribosomal RNA", at positions 508 to 807 of the family's 1533-position model. The record is from RNAcentral.